This 301-nucleotide ribosomal RNA is filed under the name uncultured bacterium. Its description in RNAcentral is "partial 16S ribosomal RNA". It matches the Rfam family "Bacterial small subunit ribosomal RNA", at positions 509 to 807 of the family's 1533-position model. The record is from RNAcentral.
CAGCAGCCGCGGUAAUACGUAGGGUGCGAGCGUUAAUCGGAAUUACUGGGCGUAAAGCGGGCGCAGACGGUUACUUAAGCAGGAUGUGAAAUCCCCAGGCUCAACCUGGGAACUGCGUUCUGAACUGGGUGACUAGAGUGUGUCAGAGGGAGGUAGAAUUCCACGUGUAGCAGUGAAAUGCGUAGAGAUGUGGAGGAAUACCAAUGGCGAAGGCAGCCUCCUGGGAUAACACUGACGUUCAUGUCCGAAAGCGUGGGUAGCAAACAGGAUUAGAUACCCCCGUAGUCCCUGUCUCUUAUAC